This is a small nucleolar RNA of Sorex fumeus (smoky shrew), 205 nucleotides long. RefSeq annotates it as small nucleolar RNA U3. NCBI's taxonomy places the organism in Eukaryota, Metazoa, Chordata, Mammalia, Eulipotyphla, Soricidae. The transcript has a single exon. The record is from RefSeq and is a predicted model, not a curated record.
AAGACUAUACUUUCAGGGAUCAUUUCUAUAGCUUGUUACUAAAAAAAAUUUUCUGAUUGUGUAGAGCACCAGAAACCAUGAGGAGCCAGAGAAUUCUCUCCUGAGCGUGAGGCCGGUUCUAUGUUGCUUUUUCAACUGCCUUUUACUAACCACUGUUCAUUCUUUUCUUUCCUUGGGAGAGUGGGAGAGUAGCAGUCUGAGUACU